AGUGAACGCUGGCGGUAGGCCUAACACAUGCAAGUCGAACGGCAGCACAGUAAGAGCUUGCUCUUACGGGUGGCGAGUGGCGGACGGGUGAGGAAUACAUCGGAAUCUACUUUUUCGUGGGGGAUAACGUAGGGAAACUUACGCUAAUACCGCAUACGACCUACGGGUGAAAGCAGGGGAUCUUCGGACCUUGCGCGAUUGAAUGCGCCGAUGUCGGAUUAGAUAGUUGGCGGGGUAAAGGCCCACCAAGGCGACGAUCCGUAGCUGGUCUGUGAGGAUGAUCAGCCACACUGGAAGUGAGACACGGUCCAGACUCCUACGGGAGGGAGCAGUGGGGAAUAUUGGACAAUGGGCGCAAGCCUGAUCCAGCCAUACCGCGUGGGUGAAGAAGGCCUUCGGGUUGUAAAGCCCUUUUGUUGGGAAAGAAAAGCAGCAGGUUAAUACCCCGCUGUUCUGACGGUACCCAAAGAAUAAGCACCGGCUAACUUCGUG
RNAcentral lists this ribosomal RNA (492 nucleotides) under uncultured bacterium. RNAcentral's name for it is "partial 16S ribosomal RNA". It matches the Rfam family "Bacterial small subunit ribosomal RNA", at positions 29 to 507 of the family's 1533-position model. The record is from RNAcentral.